This 425-nucleotide ribosomal RNA is filed under the name uncultured bacterium. RNAcentral's name for it is "partial 16S ribosomal RNA". It matches the Rfam family "Bacterial small subunit ribosomal RNA", at positions 354 to 796 of the family's 1533-position model. The record is from RNAcentral.
GUGGGGAAUCUUGCGCAAUGGGCGAAAGCCUGACGCAGCCAUGCCGCGUGGAUGAUGAAGGUCUUAGGAUUGUAAAAUCCUUUCACCGGUGAAGAUAAUGACUGUAGCCGGAGAAGAAGCCCCGGCUAACUUCGUGCCAGCAGCCGCGGUAAUACGAAGGGGGCUAGCGUUGCUCGGAUUUACUGGGCGUAAAGGGCGCGUAGGCGGACAUUUAAGUCAGGGGGGAAAUCCCGGGGCUCAACCUCGGAACUGCCUUUGAUACUGGGUGUCUUGAGUAUGAGAGAGGUGUGUGGAACUCCGAGUGUAGAGGUGAAAUUCGUAGAUAUUCGGAAGAACACCAGUGGCGAAGGCGACACACUGGCUCAUUACUGACGCUGAGGCGCGAAAGCGUGGGGAGCAAACAGGAUUAGAAACCCUAGUAGUCC